Molecule: ribosomal RNA, 421 nt
Filed under: uncultured bacterium
Lineage: Bacteria
Description: partial 16S ribosomal RNA
Rfam family: Bacterial small subunit ribosomal RNA
Source: RNAcentral
UAGGGAAUAUUGGGCAAUGGAGGCAACUCUGACCCAGCCAUGCCGCGUGCAGGAAGAAGGCGCUCAGCGUUGUAAACUGCUUUUAUCGGGGAAGAAACGACCCUUGCGAGGGGCAUUGACGGUACCCGAUGAAUAAGCACCGGCUAACUCCGUGCCAGCAGCCGCGGUAAUACGGAGGGUGCAAGCGUUGUCCGGAUUUAUUGGGUUUAAAGGGUGCGCAGGCGGGAAGGUUACUUCGUGGUGAAAGACGAUCGCUCAACGAUUGCAGUGCCAUGAAUACUGCCUUUCUUGAAUCUGGUUGAGGCCGGUGGAAUUGACCGUGUAGCGGUGAAAUGCAUAGAUAUGGUCAAGAACUCCAAUUGCGAAGGCAGCCGGCUGGGCCAGUAUUGACGCUCAGGCACGAGAGUGCGGGGAUCAAACA